This 99-nucleotide small RNA is filed under the name Pedobacter alluvionis. Its description in RNAcentral is "Flavo-1 RNA". It matches the Rfam family "Flavo-1 RNA". The record is from RNAcentral. Lineage: Bacteria; Pseudomonadati; Bacteroidota; Sphingobacteriia; Sphingobacteriales; Sphingobacteriaceae.
AAAUAAACCUUAUUGCAGCGGUUAUCCUUUUUGGCACACAAACAAGAAUGUUUCCACUAAGCUCUCACAAAAAGAUAAUAGCGGAAAGAAGGACUGCCC